This 253-nucleotide ribosomal RNA is filed under the name uncultured bacterium. Its description in RNAcentral is "partial 16S ribosomal RNA". It matches the Rfam family "Bacterial small subunit ribosomal RNA", at positions 524 to 776 of the family's 1533-position model. The record is from RNAcentral.
UGCGAAGGGUGCUAGCGUUGUUCGGAAUUACUGGGCGUAAAGAGUGCGUAGGCGGCUAUACAAGUCAGGGGUGAAAUCCCGGAGCUUAACUCCGGAACUGCCUUUGAAACUGUAUAGCUGGAGUGUUUGAGGGGAUAGCGGAAUUCCUAAUGUAGAGGUGAAAUUCGUAGAUAUUAGGAGGAACACCGGUGGCGAAGGCGGCUAUCUGGCAAACAACUGACGCUGAGGCACGAAAGCGUGGGGAUCAAACAGG